CACGUAGGGUCCGAGCGUUGUCCGGAAUUACUGGGCGUAAAGCGCGCGCAGGCGGUUAGUCGCAUCGGCGGUGAAAGCCCCCCGCUUAACGGGGGAGGGUCCGUCGAGAUGGACUGACUGGAGGCAUGCAGGGGAGAACGGAAUUCCUGGUGUAGCGGUGAAAUGCGCAGAUAUCAGGAGGAACACCGGUGGCGAAGGCGGUUCUCUGGGCAUGAUCUGACGCUGAGGAGCGAAAGUGUGGGGAGCGAACAGG
RNAcentral lists this ribosomal RNA (253 nucleotides) under uncultured bacterium. Its description in RNAcentral is "partial 16S ribosomal RNA". It matches the Rfam family "Bacterial small subunit ribosomal RNA", at positions 524 to 776 of the family's 1533-position model. The record is from RNAcentral.